UGGCGGCGUGCCUAAUACAUGCAAGUCGAACGGGGUGUAGCAAUACACUUAGUGGCGACCGGGUGCGUAACACGUAGCUGACCUGCCCUUCAGCGGGGGAUAACGAGCCGAAAGGUUCGCUAAUACCGCAUGGACUCUGAGCGAUUAGAAGGCUUAGAGGAAACUUCCGGGGCUGAAGGAGGGGGCUGCGGCCCAUCAGGUAGUUGGUGAGGUAGAAGCUCACCAAGCCGAUGACGGGUAGGGGGCCUGAGAGGGUGGUCCCCCACACUGGGACUGACACACGGCCCAGACUCCUACGGGAGGCAGCAGUAAGGGAUAUUGGUCAAUGGGCGCAAGCCUGAACCAGCAACGCCGCGUGCAGGAUGACGGCCUUCGGGUUGUAAACUGCUUUUCUCAGGGACGAGCGAGGACGGUACCUGAGGAAUAAGUCACGGCUAACUACGUGCCAGCAGCCGCGGUAACACGUAGGUGGCGAGCGUUAUCCGGAUUUACUGGGCGUAAAGCGUGUGCAGACUGGGUAGCAAGUGGUGUAUGAAAGGGUGAGGCUCAACCUCACGAGGGUAUGCCAGACUGCUGCUCUAGAGUGCGAGAGAGGGAUGUGGAAUUCCGGGUGUAGUGGUGAAAUGCGUAGAGAUCCGGAGGAACCCCAGAGGCGCAAGCGGCGUCCUGGCUCGCAACUGACGUUCAGACACGACAGCAUGGGGAGCGAACGGGAUUAGAAACCCCGGUAGUCCAUGCCGUAAACGAUGCCAACUAGGCGCUGGUGGUGAUAAGCCAUCGGUGCCGCAGCUAACGCGAUAAGUUGGCCGCCUGGGGACUACGGCCGCAAGGCUAAAACUCAAAGGAAUUGACGGGGGCCCGCACAAGCAGCGGAGCGUGUGGUUUAAUUCGAGGCUACACGAAGAACCUUACCUAGACUUGACAUGGGCGUGAACGAGGGUGAAAGCCUGAGGUUCGCAAGACACGCUCACAGGUGCUGCAUGGCUGUCGUCAGCUCGUGUCGUGAGAUGUUAGGUUAAGUCCUGUAACGAGCGCAACCCCUGGUGGUAGUUACAAGGUGUCUACCGCGACUGCCUGCGUAAGUGGGAGGAAGGUGGGGAUGACGUCAAGUCAGCAUGGCCUUUAUGUCUAGGGCUACACACACGCUACAAUGGUCGGUACAACAGGAAGCCAAGCGGCAACGCGGAGCAAAUCCUCUCAAAGCCGAUCUCAGUUCAGAUUGUGGGUUGCAACCCGCCCACAUGAAGUCGGAGUUGCUAGUAACCGCGCGUCAGCCAUAGUGCGGUGAAUACGUUCCCGGGCCUUGUACACACCGCCCGUCACGUCAUGGGAGCUGGUCACGCCUGAAGCCGGUGGGCAAACCGCAAGGAUGCAGCCGUCUAGGGCAGGGCCGGUGACUGG
Molecule: ribosomal RNA, 1401 nt
Filed under: uncultured bacterium
Lineage: Bacteria
Description: bacterial SSU rRNA
Rfam family: Bacterial small subunit ribosomal RNA
Source: RNAcentral